Molecule: ribosomal RNA, 253 nt
Filed under: uncultured bacterium
Lineage: Bacteria
Description: partial 16S ribosomal RNA
Rfam family: Bacterial small subunit ribosomal RNA
Source: RNAcentral
AACGUAGGAGGCAAGCGUUAUCCGGAGUGACUGGGCGUAAAGAGCGUGUAGGCGGUUGAGUAAGUUGCGUGUGAAAGCGCCCGGCUAAACUGGGCGAGGACAGGCAAGACUGCUGAGUUAGAGGCCGAUAAAGGGGGGCGGAAUUCCGGGUGUAGCGGUGAAAUGUGUAGAGAUCCGGAGGAACACCAGUGGUGCAGACGGCGCCCUGGAUCGGACCUGACGCUGAGACGCGAAAGCGUGGGGAGCGAACGGG